GAUGAACGCUAGCGACAGGCUUAACACAUGCAAGUCGAGGGGCAUCGGGACGUAGCAAUACGUUGCCGGCGACCGGCGGAUGGGUGAGUAACGCGUAUGCAACCUGCCCACGACAGGGGGACAGCCCGUUGAAAGACGGAUUAAUACCCCAUAAAACAGGGGUUCCGCAUGGGACUAUUUGUUAAAGGGUUUUCCGCGAGGGGGAUCCGGUUGUGGAUGGGCAUGCGUUCCAUUAGGCAGUUGGUGAGGUAACGGCUCACCAAACCGACGAUGGAUAGGGGAACCGGGAGGUUGGUCCCCCACACUGGUACUGAGAUACGGACCAGACUCCUACGGGAGGCAGCAGUGAGGAAUUUUGGUCAAUGGACGGAAGUCUGAACCAGCCAAGUCGCGUGAAGGAAGGCGGCCCUAAGGGUUGUAAACUUCUUUUGUAAGGGAAUAAAGGCCGGUACGUGUUACCGGUUUGCAGGUACCUUACGAAUAAGGAUCGGCUAACUCCGUGCCAGCAGCCGCGGUAAUCACGGAGAGUA
This 530-nucleotide ribosomal RNA is filed under the name uncultured bacterium. Its description in RNAcentral is "bacterial SSU rRNA". It matches the Rfam family "Bacterial small subunit ribosomal RNA", at positions 28 to 534 of the family's 1533-position model. The record is from RNAcentral.